UUCCCGGAGGACUAGUGGUUAGACCUCGGUGCUCUCACUGCCGCUACCUGGGUUCAAUUCUCAGCCAGGGAA
Molecule: non-coding RNA, 72 nt
Organism: Pangasius djambal
Lineage: Eukaryota; Metazoa; Chordata; Actinopteri; Siluriformes; Pangasiidae
Source: the annotation of a GenBank genome assembly